AUUCCGUACACUGUGCUCGUAACCUUCAAAAGUGCGAGCACUGUGGAGAAAUUGUUCCCAGGAAGCUUAUGGAAGAACACUACAAUGAAAAUCACGCUCCGGUAUGUUUGCAUUCUGAUUCUAAAUGCACGUUUUAAGUUUUGUAGUCUGAUACUAAAUGCCAUGUUUUGAGUUUUCAGAAGAUCAUGCCUAAUGUUGGUUUUCGUUGUGUUUUUCAGAAGAUUAUGCCUAAUGUUGGUUCUCGUUUUUUUUUCCAGAAGAUUAUGCCAUAAUGUUGGUUCUCGUUGUGUUUUUUAGAAGAUUAUGCCUAAUGU
RNAcentral lists this long non-coding RNA (314 nucleotides) under Hordeum vulgare. RNAcentral describes it as "long non-coding RNA (HVUL_LNC009774)". Lineage: Eukaryota; Viridiplantae; Streptophyta; Magnoliopsida; Poales; Poaceae. The record is from RNAcentral.